This 206-nucleotide long non-coding RNA is filed under the name Elaeis guineensis (African oil palm). RNAcentral's name for it is "long non-coding RNA (EGUI_LNC056099)". The record is from RNAcentral. Lineage: Eukaryota; Viridiplantae; Streptophyta; Magnoliopsida; Arecales; Arecaceae.
AGCCACACAAAGAUGUCUGGCCUCUACAAAAAAAUUCACGUGAAGACUGACGCAGAUCAGGGACUUGGAGGUGCUAGCCUGCAAGCAACUUUGACGGCUGAUCUCUUCUCUUUUUUUUUAAGCACCUUGGACACUCCAAAGGAUGAAGGGAUCUAGAGGUAGAAGAGAGGAGAAGGAGAAGAUCCUCAAAAAAUAAAACACCAGCA